Molecule: transfer RNA, 67 nt
Filed under: Hydatophylax nigrovittatus
Lineage: Eukaryota; Metazoa; Arthropoda; Insecta; Trichoptera; Limnephilidae
Description: tRNA-Ile
Source: RNAcentral
AAUACUGUGCCUGAAAAAGGAUUAUUUUGAUAGAAUAAAUCAUACAAACUUAUAUUUGUCUUUAUUA